RNAcentral lists this long non-coding RNA (974 nucleotides) under Salvia miltiorrhiza (redroot sage). RNAcentral describes it as "long non-coding RNA (SMIL_LNC003632)". Lineage: Eukaryota; Viridiplantae; Streptophyta; Magnoliopsida; Lamiales; Lamiaceae. The record is from RNAcentral.
GUCUCAGUUUUCAGAUCUUUUGAUAAGGAUAAAAGAGGAUGUGUACUUUCAACUAAAGGUUACUUACUCUCGAGUUUUCUUUAUAUUUUUUUUACGCGUUCUUACUGUUAAUUCAUUUUUUCUGUGUCUUUGUUUUGGACCUGAAUGGUGGCAAGAGGCUUAAACUUAGUUUGUCACCUCUAUUUGCAUUGCCAAUUAUUUUUAGGUCGUGUUCACUCGGUCUUCUUACUCGGUCAAGGCAUUUGAUAGGUUCAAAUUUAUUUAUGUUGGUCAAGUUAAGUUUAAAUUUGCACAAUUUAAUUUAACAUAGAAGUUUUGUGGAUGCUAAUGUGAGUUCUUGAUACAAUUUAUUGAUCCACCUCUGAGAUUUGGUAAUAUUUUAACAUUAUGUGGGUUUGUUAUUCUUUUAAUUUAUUUAUUUAUUGUGGUUGGUAAUUUUCAUAUAAGACUCCGAAGGAAUCAAAGAGGUGUGAUAUUGUAGGUGAGAUUGGUUUAAGUAUUCCAAUCCUACAACAAACAAGUUACGAUUUCACUUGUUUUCUUCAUUUUAGAUCUCUUUAAAACUUGUAAGAAUUUAUUGCGUAUAUGCUCAAAUAAUGUUUUUUUGUCUCUUAACAAUCAUUUUGUUUUCAUUUGCCAGGCGGUGCUUCUGAAAAUGGCCAAGUAUUGUUUGAGUUCUUGGCAAAAUCUUUUACUUUUUGAUGUUGGUUGUGAGUAAAUUGUCUUGUAUUUUUCACUAGAUCGGAUUUGUUACUCUAGGAUUAGGACUUGGGUAAUUGCCUCUAGCCUUUAGGUUUUUUAAGGAUUUGUUACUUUGUGUUAUACAAAGAUUGUUAUUUUCGAUUUCUGGUUUUCGACGGUUGCCCUCACAGUUCGCUUGUCUUUGCUCACAUCGAAUUUAUUUGCUGGAACACUUUCAUCGGUUUAUUGCACCUUCGGUAAUUCACUACCCUACUUUGUUCAAAAUAGUAUUU